AGACUUUGAUCAUGGCUCAGGAUGAACGCUAGCUACAGGCUUAACACAUGCAAGUCGAGGGGCAGCGGGAUUGAAGCUUGCUUCAAUUGCCGGCGACCGGCGCACGGGUGAGUAACGCGUAUCCAACCUUCCGUACACUCAGGGAUAGCCUUUCGAAAGAAAGAUUAAUACCUGAUGGUAUGAUGAGAUUGCAUGAUAGCAUCAUUAAAGAUUUAUCGGUGUACGAUGGGGAUGCGUUCCAUUAGGUAGUAGGCGGGGUAACGGCCCACCUAGCCGACGAUGGAUAGGGGUUCUGAGAGGAAGGUCCCCCACAUUGGAACUGAGACACGGUCCAAACUCCUACGGGAGGCAGCAGUGAGGAAUAUUGGUCAAUGGACGAGAGUCUGAACCAGCCAAGUAGCGUGAAGGAUGAAGGUCCUACGGAUUGUAAACUUCUUUUAUAAGGGAAUAAACCCUUCCACGUGUGGGAGCUUGUAUGUACCUUAUGAAUAAGCAUCGGCUAACUCCGUGCCAGCAGCCGCGGUAAUACGGAGGAUGCGAGCGUUAUCCGGAUUUAUUGGGUUUAAAGGGAGCGCAGACGGGUCGUUAAGUCAGCUGUGAAAGUUUGGGGCUCAACCUUAAAAUUGCAGUUGAUACUGGCGUCCUUGAGUGCGGUUGAGGUGUGCGGAAUUCGUGGUGUAGCGGUGAAAUGCUUAGAUAUCACGAAGAACUCCGAUUGCGAAGGCAGCACACUAAGCCGUAACUGACGUUCAUGCUCGAAAGUGUGGGUAUCAAACAGGAUUAGAUACCCUGGUAGUCCACACGGUAAACGAUGGAUACCCGCUGUUGGCGAUAUACUGUCAGCGGCUUAGCGAAAGCGUUAAGUAUCCCACCUGGGGAGUACGCCGGCAACGGUGCAACUCAAAUGAAUUGACGG
RNAcentral lists this ribosomal RNA (916 nucleotides) under uncultured bacterium. RNAcentral describes it as "bacterial SSU rRNA". It matches the Rfam family "Bacterial small subunit ribosomal RNA", at positions 8 to 916 of the family's 1533-position model. The record is from RNAcentral. RNAcentral also lists the same sequence under 1 other name.